AACGAACGCUGGCGGCAUGCCUAACACAUGCAAGUCGAACGAGACCUUCGGGUCUAGUGGCGCACGGGUGCGUAACGCGUGGGAACCUGCCCUUAGGUUCGGAAUAACUCCCCGAAAGGGGUGCUAAUACCGGAUAAUGUCUUCGGACCAAAGAUUUAUCGCCUCUGGAUGGGCCCGCGUUGGAUUAGCUAGUUGGUAGGGUAAAAGCCUACCAAGGCGACGAUCCAUAGCUGGUCUGAGAGGAUGAUCAGCCACACUGGGACUGAGACACGGCCCAGACUCCUACGGGAGGCAGCAGUGGGGAAUAGUGGACAAUGGGCGAAAGCCUGAUGCAGCAAUGCCGCGUGAGUGAUGAAGGCCUUAGGGUUGUAAAGCUCUUUUACCCGGGAUGAUAAUGACAGUACCGGGAGAAUAAGCUCCGGCUAACUCCGUG
Molecule: ribosomal RNA, 433 nt
Filed under: uncultured bacterium
Lineage: Bacteria
Description: partial 16S ribosomal RNA
Rfam family: Bacterial small subunit ribosomal RNA
Source: RNAcentral